RNAcentral lists this ribosomal RNA (433 nucleotides) under uncultured bacterium. Its description in RNAcentral is "partial 16S ribosomal RNA". It matches the Rfam family "Bacterial small subunit ribosomal RNA", at positions 29 to 507 of the family's 1533-position model. The record is from RNAcentral.
AACGAAAGCUGGCGGCAUGCCUAACACAUGCAAGUCGAGCGAGACCUUCGGGGCUAGUGGCGCAAGGGGGCGGAAAGCGUAGGAACCUGCCCUUAGGAUCGGAAUAACUCCCCGAAAGGGGUGCUAAGACCGGAUAAUGUCUUCGGACCAAAGAUUUAUCGCCUUUGGAUGGGCCCGCGUGGGAUUAGCUAGUUGGUAGGGUGAAAGCCUACCAAGGCGACGGUCCAUAGCUGGUCUGAGAGGAUGCUCAGCCACACUGGGACUGAGACACGGCCCAGACUCCUACGGGAAGCAGCAGUGGGGAAUAUUGGUCACUGGGCGCAAGCCUGAUCCAGCAAUGCCGCGUGAGUGAUGAAGGCCUUAGGGUUGUAAAGCUCUUUUACCCGGGAUGAUAAUGACAGUACCGGGAGAAUAAGCUCCGGCUAACUCCGUG